GACGAACGCUGGCGGCGUGCCUAAUACAUGCAAGUCGAACGAGAGCGACCGGUGCUUGCACUGGUCAAUCUAGUGGCGAACGGGUGAGUAACACGUGGGUAACCUGCCCAUCAGAGGGGGAUAACAUUCGGAAACGGAUGCUAAAACCGCAUAGGUCUUCGAACCGCAUGGUUUGAAGAGGAAAAGAGGCGCAAGCUUCUACUGAUGGAUGGACCCGCGGUGCAUUAGCUAGUUGGUGAGGUAACGGCUCACCAAAGCCGUGAUGCAUAGCCGACCUGAGAGGGUGAUCGGCCACAUUGGGACUGAGACACGGCCCAAACUCCUACGGGAGGCAGCAGUAGGGAAUCUUCCGCAAUGGACGCAAGUCUGACGGAGCAACGCCGCGUGAGUGAAGAAGGUUUUCGGAUCGUAAAACUCUGUUGUUAGAGAAGAAUAAGUGCUAGAGUAACUGUUAGCGCCUUGACGGUAUCUAACCAGAAAGCCACGGCUAACUACGUG
Molecule: ribosomal RNA, 498 nt
Filed under: uncultured bacterium
Lineage: Bacteria
Description: partial 16S ribosomal RNA
Rfam family: Bacterial small subunit ribosomal RNA
Source: RNAcentral